AGUCGUGGACAGGGCCGUGGCACGGCCAUAUGGGAAACUCGUCCCCGCUAAAUACGGAAAUAUCGCGUUGACUAACUGCCAGAGGGCAGCACAAAACGCUUUUCGAUCGUCACGACCCUGGUGGCGGCCACUGAAGCUCACGGUACAACAAGCUGCCGGCUGCCAUAUUGAAUCGAGAAACGAAGCGCGGGAAGCACGUUUCUUUGACAGUUUGGCCGCUUUCCCACGGCCGCAGGCCGUGACAGGCCGAAUUCUUGUCGCGCACGAGUGGCCAAAGAGCCAAGGAGUAUUCUUAACAGCCACAUCAUCGGCCCAGGGGCCUACUUCAGCCCCGGCGGGCACGCAAUGUGCGAGGUCGUCGGCGCAAGAUUACUGAAAACAAACUUUUGAGACUGCGCCAGUUUCCCGUCGUGCGCUUCCAAUUUAAUUUUUCCAACCUGGGAGAGAAUACGAGAAAAACGCUGGUGCAAAUAAAAAUAUGUAGUCAACCAAAUUGUGGUAAACUGAUCUAUUUUUCUUCUUCUAAUUUUCAUUUUUUGCAGGAAUCGGAGUUUCUUUUUAUUAACUGAGAGUGCAGUUCAUUAUCUUGUGUUUGGAUACCUCAUUUUAUCACUUUUUGAUAUUGGUAGGAUCAUGAAUUUAAGAUGUGAACUUUUAUGAUGUUCUUGUCAACACCAUGAAUAAAUUACCUCUUCAGGAUUACA
Molecule: long non-coding RNA, 704 nt
Organism: Neocloeon triangulifer
Lineage: Eukaryota; Metazoa; Arthropoda; Insecta; Ephemeroptera; Baetidae
Exons: 2
Source: RefSeq, a predicted model, not a curated record